This 49-nucleotide small RNA is filed under the name Sinorhizobium meliloti 2011. RNAcentral's name for it is "putative ncRNA". Lineage: Bacteria; Pseudomonadati; Pseudomonadota; Alphaproteobacteria; Hyphomicrobiales; Rhizobiaceae. The record is from RNAcentral.
UUUCCCUUCUCCCCGUCGAAACGCGUCAAACGGGGAGAAGGUCGCGGCA